ACGCUCGACACCUACGGGAGGAGCAGUGGGGAAUAUUGCACAAUGGGGGAAACCCUGAUGCAGCGACGCCGCGUGAAGGAAGAAGUAUCUCGGUAUGUAAACUUCUAUCAGCAGGGAAGAAAGUGACGGUACCUGACUAAGAAGCCCCGGCUAACUACGUGCUAGCAGCCACGGUAAUCUGAGCGGGCUGGCAAGGC
RNAcentral lists this ribosomal RNA (197 nucleotides) under uncultured bacterium. RNAcentral describes it as "partial 16S ribosomal RNA". It matches the Rfam family "Bacterial small subunit ribosomal RNA", at positions 328 to 539 of the family's 1533-position model. The record is from RNAcentral.